Molecule: ribosomal RNA, 254 nt
Filed under: uncultured bacterium
Lineage: Bacteria
Description: partial 16S ribosomal RNA
Rfam family: Bacterial small subunit ribosomal RNA
Source: RNAcentral
UACGGAGGGUGCAAACGUUGCUCGGAAUCAUUGGGCGUAAAGCGCACGUAGGCGGCUCGUUAAGUCGGGUGUGAAAGCCCUCGGCUCAACCGAGGAAGUGCAUUCGAAACUGGCGAGCUUGAAUAUGGAAGAGGGUCGCGGAAUUCCCGGUGUAGAGGUGAAAUUCGUAGAUAUCGGGAGGAACACCAGUGGCGAAGGCGGCGACCUGGGCCAAUAUUGACGCUGAGGUGCGAAAGCGUGGGGGAGCAAACAGG